GAUGAACGCUGGCGGCGUGCCUAACACAUGCAAGUCGAACGGUUAAGCCACCUUCGGGUGGGCAUACAGUGGCGAACGGGUGAGUAACACGUGGGUAACCUGCCCAUAAGAGGGGAUAACAUCCGGAAACGGGUGCUAAUACCGCAUAGGUUUCUUGGUCGCAUGAUCGAGAAAGGAAAGACGGCCUUUGUGCUGUCGCUUAUGGAUGGACCCGNGGCGUAUUAGUUAGUUGGUGAGGUAAUGGCUCACCAAGACGAUGAUACGUAGCCGACCUGAGAGGGUGAUCGGCCACAUUGGGGACUGAGACACGGCCCAAACUCCUACGGGAGCAGCAGUAGGGAAUC
This 344-nucleotide ribosomal RNA is filed under the name uncultured bacterium. Its description in RNAcentral is "bacterial SSU rRNA". It matches the Rfam family "Bacterial small subunit ribosomal RNA", at positions 28 to 363 of the family's 1533-position model. The record is from RNAcentral.